GUGAGGAAUUUUCCGCAAUGGGCGAAAGCCUGACGGAGCAAUGCCGCGUGAAGGAUGAAGGCCUAUGGGUUGUAAACUUCUUUUCUCAGAAAAGAAUUAUGACGGUAUCUGAGGAAUAAGCAUCGGCUAACUCUGUGCCAGCAGCCGCGGUAAGACAGAGGAUGCAAGCGUUAUCCGGAAUGAUUGGGCGUAAAGCGUCUGUAGGUUGUUUAAAAAGUAUUAUGUCAAAGAUUAGGGCUUAACCCUAGAUAGGCAGAAUAAACUUUUAAGCUAGAGUUUGGUAGAGGCAGAGGGAAUUCCCGGUGGAGCGGUGAAAUGCGUAGAUAUCGGGAGGAACACCAAAGGCGAAGGCACUCUGCUGGGCCAAUACUAACACUGAGAGACGAAAGCGAGGGGAGCAAAUGGGAUUAGAAACCCGAGUAGUCC
Molecule: ribosomal RNA, 426 nt
Filed under: uncultured bacterium
Lineage: Bacteria
Description: bacterial SSU rRNA
Rfam family: Bacterial small subunit ribosomal RNA
Source: RNAcentral